CCCUCCUCAUCUUCUCCAACAUCAGAAUCAGCUUCAUUCACAAUCACAGCUCUUGAAGUCGAAGCAUUACCACGCCGUGAGUAGAAUAGACCCGUCCUACGAGGAAGAUUGCGUCCCUCGACGACAUCAGAUGCACCAACAGCUCUAUCAACAUCCUCCCACGUAAGAUCAUCUCCAUCAUGAACUAUAUCUUGUUCGAGCACUAUCCACUCAUUACCCC
This 220-nucleotide long non-coding RNA is filed under the name Panax ginseng (ginseng). RNAcentral describes it as "long non-coding RNA (PGIN_LNC018610)". The record is from RNAcentral. Lineage: Eukaryota; Viridiplantae; Streptophyta; Magnoliopsida; Apiales; Araliaceae.